This 253-nucleotide ribosomal RNA is filed under the name uncultured bacterium. RNAcentral's name for it is "partial 16S ribosomal RNA". It matches the Rfam family "Bacterial small subunit ribosomal RNA", at positions 524 to 776 of the family's 1533-position model. The record is from RNAcentral.
UACGUAGGGACCAAGCGUUGUUCGGAUUUACUGGGCGUAAAGGGCGCGUAGGCGGCUUGUCGCGUCGUCCGUGAAAACCUGCAGCUCAACUGCAGGCUUGCGGUCGAUACGGGCAGGCUCGAGUUCGGUAGGGGAGACUGGAAUUCCUGGUGUAGCGGUGAAAUGCGCAGAUAUCAGGAGGAACACCGGUGGCGAAGGCGGGUCUCUGGGCCGAUACUGACGCUGAGGAGCGAAAGCGUGGGGAGCGAACAGG